Molecule: ribosomal RNA, 478 nt
Filed under: uncultured bacterium
Lineage: Bacteria
Description: partial 16S ribosomal RNA
Rfam family: Bacterial small subunit ribosomal RNA
Source: RNAcentral
GACGAACGCUGGCGGCGUGCUUAACACAUGCAAGUCGAACGGUAAGGCCCUUCGGGGUACACGAGUGGCGAACGGGUGAGUAACACGUGGGUGAUCUGCCCUGCACUUCGGGGUAAGGCUGGGAAACUGGGUCUAAUACCGGAUAGGACUCCGGACUGCAAGGUCUGGGGUGGAAAGCUUUUGCGGUGUGGGAUGGGCCCGCGGCCUAUGAGGUUGUUGGUGGGGUGACGGCCUACCAAGGCGACGACGGGCAGCCGGCCUGGGAGCGUGACCAGCCACCAUGGGACUGAGAGACGGACCAGGCUCCUACAUGAGGCAGCGGGCGGGAAUCUUGCGCAGCGGGCGCAAGUCUGAUGCAGCGGCGCCGCGUGAGGGAUGACGUCCUUCGGGUUAGAAACCUCUUACAGCACAUACGAAGGGCGAGUGACGGUAUGUGCAGAAGAAGGACCGGCCAACUACGUGCCAGCCGCCGCAGUAA